GAGGGUGUAGCUUAGUGAUAGAAUGCCUGCUUAGCAAGCACAAGGCCCUAGGUUCAAAUCUUAGCACUGCCA
Molecule: transfer RNA, 72 nt
Filed under: Heterocephalus glaber (naked mole-rat)
Lineage: Eukaryota; Metazoa; Chordata; Mammalia; Rodentia; Bathyergidae
Rfam family: tRNA
About the family: Transfer RNA (tRNA) molecules are approximately 80 nucleotides in length. Their secondary structure includes four short double-helical elements and three loops (D, anti-codon, and T loops).
Source: Rfam by way of RNAcentral